RNAcentral lists this ribosomal RNA (100 nucleotides) under uncultured bacterium. RNAcentral describes it as "partial 16S ribosomal RNA". It matches the Rfam family "Bacterial small subunit ribosomal RNA", at positions 371 to 483 of the family's 1533-position model. The record is from RNAcentral.
AUGGGCGGAAGCCUAAUGCAGCAACGCCGCGUGCGGGAUGACGGCCUUCGGGUUGUAAACCGCUUUCGCCUGUGACAAAGCGUGAGUGACGGUAAUGGGU